AUACUUACCUGGCAGGGGAGAUACCAUGAUCACGAAGGUGGUUUUCCCAGGGCGAGGCUUAUCCAUUGCACUCUGGAUGUGCUGACCCCUGCGAUUUCCCCAAAUGUGGGAAACUCGACUGCAUAAUUUGUGGUAGUGGGGGACUGCAUUCGCGCUCUCCCCUG
Molecule: small nuclear RNA, 164 nt
Filed under: Myotis brandtii (Brandt's bat)
Lineage: Eukaryota; Metazoa; Chordata; Mammalia; Chiroptera; Vespertilionidae
Description: U1 spliceosomal RNA
Rfam family: U1 spliceosomal RNA
About the family: U1 is a small nuclear RNA (snRNA) component of the spliceosome (involved in pre-mRNA splicing). Its 5' end forms complementary base pairs with the 5' splice junction, thus defining the 5' donor site of an intron.
Source: Rfam by way of RNAcentral